Molecule: ribosomal RNA, 518 nt
Filed under: fungal sp. 1a-Bj4
Lineage: Eukaryota; Fungi
Description: SSU rRNA
Rfam family: Eukaryotic small subunit ribosomal RNA
Source: RNAcentral
AUACAAAACCAAUGCCCUUCGGGGCUCCUUGGUGAUUCAUGAUAACUAUACGAAUCGCACGGCCUUGCGCCGGCGAUGGUUCAUUCAAAUUUCUUCCCUAUCAACUUUCGAUGUUUGGGUAUUGGCCAAACAUGGUUUCAACGGGUAACGGAGGAUUAGGGUUCGACCCCGGAGAAGGAGCCUGAGAAACGGCUACCACAUCCAAGGAAGGCAGCAGGCGCGCAAAUUACCCAAUCCCGAUUCGGGGAGGUAGUGACAAUAAAUACUGAUACAGGGCCCUUUCGGGCCUUGUAAUUGGAAUGAGUACAAUUUAAAUCCCUUAACGAGGAACAAUUGGAGGGCAAGUCUGGUGCCAGCAGCCGCGGUAAUUCCAGCUCCAAUAGCGUAUAUUAAAGUUGUUGUGGUUAAAAAGCUCGUAGUUGAACCUUGGGCCUGGCUGGCCGGUCCGCCUCACCGCGUGCACUGGUCCGGCCGGGCCUUUCCCUCUGUGGAACCCCAUACCCUUCACUGGGCGUGGC